GGCAAUCGCCUAGGGCCUCAAAAAUUGAGGCUUACGCUCAGUACCUCAAAACUCAUAGUAAUACCAUUAUCCCAACAGCCCAUGUUUGAAUCCAGUAGAAACUUAAGCCAUUAAGGAAAUUGAACGGACACUACGAGAAGGAAAUUGAAGGGACGAGAAGGAAAUUGAAGGCCGAUUCAAUCAAAAGGUAAGUCGUCUUCUUCAAUUUAGAAUUCCCAAAUCUCCUCUCCAAAAACUUUUUUGUUUUCCUAUAAGUUUUCUACGUCAAUGGUCCUCCCAAAAGUUUUCUGUUUUCCAGUCGGUGUCCUGCUCUUCUCGACAUCUCUAGACUCCAGCCCUACUCAAGUGCUCAUCAGCCUCAUCUAUUUAGAUUUUAGGUAUUAACUAUUAAAUAUAAUUGGUUUAUCAUAUAAUAAUUUAAUUAAUAGCAGUCGCCAGAGAGCUCUUUCUGAAUUCUCUCCUUGGAUUUUUGGAUUUUAGAAUGAUGAUUAUGGGUAGAAAAUUGUAGGUGAGGAAGAAAUUACCAAAUUUGCCAUUUAGAGGGUAUCUAGAGAUGGAAACAGGGAGAUGUGUGGCACCAAUUUUGUCGUGUAUCUUUGAUUUUUGCAAGCUUAAGUUGUCUUCAUCACCAAUAUCGUAUUUAUUUGUGAAUGAUUUAAUAUUAACAUGACCUCAGUCUGAUCACCAUUAUCAGUUGAAACUCUUCAUUUUCCUAAUUUGUUGUUCGUCGAUAAAAAUCUGCAUUUUAUUCAACAAUGAUUUUCUUGACUCUCUUGAAUUUUUUAUGUGAUUGUCUAUGAUUUUCUUGUGAUUAAAGUUAAGUUACAGGCUUAAAGUUGUUAAACCAUUAAACCACUAAGUUUGUAGACAGAGAAAGAAUGGUAGAAUCUUUCUUGGAGUCUAGAAGAAUAUUGAAAUAAUGAAAUUCAUUAAUGAUUAACCAUUGGGUGUCUUAUAAUUUUUAGUUUUAUGAUAUGUAAUUUGUCAAAACCUCAUGUAUAUUACUAUUGCCUUUUUUUUUUUUUUUUUUUAAAUUUGUAUGAAAACUGACCUGCAAAAUAAUUUAUUUGAAAGGAGGUUUUGCCCUUGUUUGAGCCCAUUUUUAUGGGAAUAAUGAAUUUUCGAAUAGUGUAUUGAUGGGAAAUGUAUGGUUAAAAAAUAAGAAAAAGUAUUGAAUUUGAAUGUAAGAUUAUUUUAUUGAAAAAUGUACGAUUGAAAUAAUGUCAAAACACUGUUGAAAAAUGUAUUUUUCCCAAAGAAUGAGGCUCAAACAAGGGCUUUGAUUCUUUUGAAUGUCGUGCUUGAUUUUAUUGCUCAAGCUCAUCAUUUAUGUUGGUAUUGCUCAAGUCUAUUCUAAAUAGGGGUGGACAAAAUGUCCAGACCAAACCAAAUCAAAUCGGAAGCAAACCAAACCGAGUGGUUCGGUUCGAUUUUACGAAAAAAAUUAAUGGUUUUGGAUCUUUGAACCGAGAACCAUUUGGUUCUAGUUUCUGUUCAGUUCUAAUGCUAGAACCAAAAAUCAAACAUAAUUUAUAAUUUUAUUUUUUAUAUGAAUCUAAUUUUAUAUUAAUGGAAGUUAGUCCAAUAACCAUUAUUUUUUUUACAGCUAAUUAAAUGUGUCUAGCUCAUUAAUUUUUUUCUCUAAUAGCUAUAGCCGUCCAGCCCAAAGGGUUAAGAGAAACCCAAAUUCCCAAUUCCAAUUUGUCUCUCAAUAUUCACCGUCUCACUUGGUCAUCGACGCCGCCUUCCAAUCCAUCAUUGUAUUUAUCUCCGAGGACACUUUGAAUUCUGAGGUAGUGAUGUUUGUUUGUUUAUAAAUACAUAUAAUUUCUAAACAAAAGCUAACCCUUUUGUUGGAAUUUCUUCAUUUUUUGAAUUUCUCAAAACUCACCUUCACAGUGCUACGGUAGAGGAAGAUAGGUAGUACCACCACCAAUUUUCCCAGUUUGCACACAGACGUCAUCAUCCCACACCAUUCCUCGUUUAGACAGUGCCACUUUUCCUUGUUUGCACAUGGACAUCAUCCCACAUUUGGACAAAGGAUGAAAUUGAACUCAAUAUUAUUAACUUCAACCCAACCGAGCUACAAUGCCCACAAGGAUGAUCACACGGUUGACACAACACACACAUAGGGGUCAGGAUUAUUUUAUUCAUGGGGGGCCCACGCCUCGACUAUGAGUGUGCGGUCAUCCACACAAUAACCGACGCGGGUUGAGUAGCUUGAUUCUAUUAACUUUUGGCAAUGACUCAUUCGUUUAUAUUUUAUUUGUUAAUUUGGACUUUUAUAACCUUGAUUAUUGAUAAUUUGAACUUGUUAAAUGUUUGAUGCUUAUAUUUUUUAUUUAAGUACAUAUUACUAACUUAUAGAUAUUGUGCAAGACUGAAAACUUAAAUAAUAGUACUAGUCUACUAAAACCAGACAAAACCAAACCAAACCAAACCAAAUCAAAUCAGAACCGAAUGGUUCAGUUCGGUUUGGUUCCACGUCUUAAAAAAAACCAUUCGAUUCCAUUAUCAGAAAAACCAUUAGUUCAUAUUUCAAUUCGGUUCUCUUAGAAUCAGAACCAAAUGAAACAACGUUCACCCCUAAUUCUAAAUGUUAUUUGGUUAUUUCUUGCAAGUUGAUUAUUGAAUUCCUUCACUUGGCAAUAUUUAAUAAUAUGGGAUAUUUUUAAUUUUACCCCAUCAAUCAAGUUUUAACGUUUUAGUUGCUUGUAAUUAUGUCCACUAGAAAAUUUGAAUCUGUAUAUUCUAAAAGAAAAUCGAAUAAAAAAGUUGAACAAUUAAUUAAAUCUCAAGAGGGAGCCCUUGAUAAAUUUUUUAGUGGCAGUAAACAAAAACAUAAUGAAGGCGUGGUUACUGAAAGAGAGUCCAAUAAGAACGAUAUCAGUGAUAAUACAAUUGAAAAACAUCAUUGUUUGAUGAAUGAAGAGGUAUUUAUCGGGGAUGAUGUUAUGGAUGAAAGAAACAUUAAUGAAAAGGAUAAAUUGGAUAGUGAACCAUUUUCCCUUGACACUAGUGAUCCAACAAAUUGGAAAAAUAUGAAUCAAAAUUUAAGAGACUUAAUUGUAAUGAAAGGUCCAGUAUGAGACAAUAAUGUAAUUUUUCUAAAAGAUGCAGCUAAUCGACACUUCUCCUCAGGAAAGGGACUUUUUGAUGGACUAGUGAAUUCGUUGAAUAAUCUAGAACUUGACAUUGAUAAUAUAAGGGGUUAAGGAUAUUAUAAUAGUGCUAAAAUGAAAAGAAAACAUAAAAGGGUACAGAAUAGACUACUACAAGUAAAUCCUAGAGCAUUCUACACUCCGUGUGGGUGUCAUAGUUUCAAUCUUGUACUUUGUGAUAUGAUUACUUGCUAUACAAAAGCAAAAUCUUUUUCUGGAGUGGUGCAAUAUAUAUACACUUUGUUUUCAUCAUCUACUAAAAGAUAGAAAUUUUUUAAAGAUAAUGUAAAUGGCCUUACCCUUAAGCCUUUGUUACAAAUACGUUGGGAAAGUCAUGUUUGUUAGACAUCAUGUUGUCAAACGACCUCCCGGACGAUGAUGUAAACCAGUUUUAUCAGUCGACAUGAAUGAAUGAACAAUAAAUCAACACCGAAUAAUGGGAUGACCCGACUUAACGUUGUUUUACCUAUUGGAUGGCUAAUAAACCUUUGUGGCUUAUUGGUGUGCUAUUGGGCCAAAACCCUAGUCGAGCCCACUUACCAUAUGUAUAACUUACCUUAUUGUUUGUCAUUGGUUUACUAUAUAUAUUGGUAACUCUCGUAGCCUUCUAAGGUCCCAUUUUUGUGAAAGAACCCGAGAGAGGGAGAGGCCGUGUCUUCUUCUUCUUCGUCCAUUCUACUUCUUGAUCUUGUCUACCUCUUGCUUGUGUCUUUGUGACCCUUACCUGUGUGGUAUUCAUUCUUUGUGAGUGAGCAAACAACAAGCAGAAGGAAGAAAAGCAACCAUAGGUAGAACUCGUAAGGUCGGCGGCGAGUACCUUCGAUUUUGGUGUUGAUUCGGUGUUUUAAAGGUUAACUGAGCCCGGAAAUUAUCUUGAGCAGCUUGAGGAAGAUCCUAACAUCUGGUAUCAGAGCUUGGUUGGCAAAAAUCGGCUCAAAAUUGGUUGAUUUUCGCGAUUUCAUCCUUUUACCCGAAUCUGAAAUUCUUCAAUUACUCACAAACCAAAACUCGGUUGGACAAACGGAGGCCAUACCCAUUACCAGCAGGUCGAGGCGCCCCUGGUGAGGUGGCGCGUGGGCAGCGACGGCGUGUGGGCGGCAUUCUAGCGAAGCUAUCUUCAGGUAACUUGCUUGUUUCGAUCUCCUGAACGCGCUGAUAUACUUUGUUUUGUAUUUCAGGUUACACAGAAAAAGUUGGACGAUUUUACCCCUGGUGCGAUACUGACUGCAAUUGAACAGCAAGCUCGUUUUUCUCUACUCUACGGACUCAGAUAGGUCCGCUCUGGUAAAUUGGCUUAAUCCAUUUAAAUUCAGCAAUAGUAAGAUCAUCGUGUGGGGUGAUCGUCAGGUUUUGGGGUUACCGUGAAGGGGUAACCAUUGCUUGUGCUAGAACUAGGAUUACUUGCGUUAAUUGAGUGCUUGUUCUUUUGAUUUAAGUGCUUGGUAUUUCUUGGUGGACGUAGCGUUUAGAUUCAUUGUUACUUUUGCUAAGAAUUAACAAGAUAUUACCUUAUCACGCUUCCCAAUACUACUUCGUUUGGUCUAAUUAGUGUGUUAACCAAUGACAACACAUAAUUUUGAUUUGGGAAUAUUUAACGGUAAAGGAGACUUCUCUAUCUGGCAACAAAAGAUGAGAGGCAUAUUAGUCCAACAAAAGGUGUCAAAAGCCAUCGAAGGCAAUUUUGCACCUGAUAUCUCAAAAGAACAAAAAGAGGAAGCCGAUGAGCUUGCCUAUACCUCAAUAAUAUUACACUUGUCUGACGCUGUCUUAAGAAAAGUGGGAAAACUAAAAACCACCAAAGAACUUUGGAAAAGACUAGAAGACUUAUACUUGCUUAAAUCUACACCGAAUAAACUCUACCUACUCGAACGAUUCUUCAGCUUUAAGAUGGAUCCUUUAAAGGAUCUCGACGACAAUUUAGAUGUAUUUAACAAAUUGGUGCAAGAUAUUGUCAAUUGUGACGAAGCCGUGUCUGAGACCUAUAAGGCUAUAAUCUUGCUCAAUUCAAUCCCGGACUCUUAUAAAGAAGUUAAGAAUGCCAUUAAGUAUGGUAGGGACACAUUAACACCUGAAAUUGUCGUAGAUUCUCUUAGGAGUAAAGAGAUGGAAAUGAGGGCUGAAAAAACAGGAUAGGAGGAGUGGAGAGUUGCAUAUGAUGCGGGGUAGAACUCAAUUUAGGCAAGCCAGUCAUGAUGGAUACCAAAGUAGUGGCGAAUUAAGUAGUAAUAGUUGGAAAAAGAAGGGCAAUGGUAGACCUAGGUCAAAGUCUAGAACUAAGGCUAGAAAAUGCUAUGGCUGUGGAGGCACAGGGCAUUUUAUAAAAGACUGCCAUAAAGAAAGGGGAAAACAAAAGAUUAAGGAAAGAGAUGAGGUAAAUAUGUUAUCCUCUACCUCCGAUACCGAAAACGGUGAAUUCUAUUUGAUCACUAGUCCAGUCGCAUACACUACUGAAUUGAAUCUAACUACUAAUUCUCACAUGCAUGAAUGGAUAUUAGAUUCUGGUACGUCUUUUCAUGUGACGUCUGAAAAGAACUGGUUUGAAAACUUGCAAGAAUCUAAUGAUGUGCAAGUAGUUCUGUGUGAUAACUUUGCCUAUACAAUUGCUGGAAUUGGAGAUAUAAAGAUAAAAUUUAACACGAGCUUUGUGUACAUGUUAAAGGAAGUUAGAUACAUUCCUGAAUUAUCUAGGAAUUUGAUUUCAGUAGGAAGACUUGAGAAAGACAACUUCACCGUUAAAAUUGGAAACGGUAUGUUUAAAAUGAUGAAGGGUGCGUUAAUCUCUAUUAAGGGAAUCAAGAAAAAUGAUAUUUACAUCACUACUGGGGAAGUAAUUAGAGGAUUAAACUCCUCUAUUUCUUCCGCCAAAAUCGAUCACACACAUACGUGGCAUAGUAGGCUUGCACACGUAGGCAUUAAGGGACUUAAGCUACUUAAUGAAAAAGGUGUAAGUAUUAUGCCCUAGGUCCAAUUAACUUUGGGCAUAAAUGCUUUAUAUAUAUAUAUAUAUAUAUAUAUAUAAUUAAUGCAAUUUAUGGCAGAUCUAUUAUUUAAUUAAUAGACAAUUAAAUAAAUAAUAGAGUCUGAAGAUUCAAACUUCCGUAAUUUGUUAAUCACAAGGAGUUGUGAUUGUGAGAUACAAAUUACAUCUGAUUGAAUCUUAAAUCAUCCAUGGUCGUAAGUAAUAACAAGAUACGGAUAUCGUUAUUACGGAUAGACCAUCACGUGUGGCAUUUCUUACUUGUGAAGUAAGUAGCUGAUCUCACAAGUUAAAGUGUGGUGACACUUAAAUGAACACGUGGAUGUUUUGUUAUAGAAUAAAACAUUGGAGAUCCGUCGAGAGAUUCCACACGGAUAACUAUCUGAGUGUCAGUGGUUAAUCUCUAGCGUUCAGUAGUGGAAUUGGUCCUUUGACUUGAGGUCGUCAUGGUACCUUAUAUGAGGAGAGUCAUACUUUGGCGGUGUUGGAUGUUGCUCUAAAAAGGGCCGCUAAUAUGACAUCGUUCGGGUACGUCAAGAGUCGUAUGAAGGUUGUGAUUGAUCAAUAAAGGAUUCGUCACUCUUAGAUAGUAGGAGAUUAUGAUCUGCGUUUCAUUCAAUUAAGUCGAUGAUGAAAUUCUUGGCCAAAGUGUACUCAUAAGUAGAAAAGGAGUUUUCGACUUAUAUUGACUUAAUAGUAGAGUGAAAGAUAUGAUCGAUGAUCGAGAUUGACACAAUUUCAUAUCUCGUAAUUGAUCGGAUCAUAUUGACGAAGGGAUUAUAGUUUCACGGUAAACGAACGAAUUUGGUUUUGUCAUAUCACGUGACAUUUUUCGUCACAUGUAUUGCCCUGACACAUUGUUAAAUGUCAAUCAGGGACGGCGAGUGUAAAUUGACGGUAAAUUAAAAGGGUAUUUUAAUUUAUCAAUUUUGAUUAGAUCAAAAUAAUAUUUCACGUAUCGUGGUCGGAAACCUAAUGGGUCGUACACAAAAGAGAAUUGGAAGAUUGCAAAUUGUCAAUUGGUUAAUUUAACAAUCGUUGGAUAAAUUAAUUAAUUGGAUUUGUUAUUUAUAUUCCCGAAUUAAUUAAUUGGAUUAAUUAAUUCACGGGCCGAGUUUAAUUAAUUGGAUUAAUUAAAUAUUGGACCGGACCGGGCCGAGCCCGUUUGGGUUUAUAUAAAUACAUGGCUAGGGUUUAAGGUCCAUAUGGUUUUCAUUAUUUUUGCUGGCACAAGAGAGAAAACCCUAGUAGCUGCAAUCUUGUUCUCUGUGUGGAUUACCGUUGGAGGCUGGACAAUUAGACAGCUGUGGAUGGCGAAUCAGGAUUGCUGGAAUGAAAAGAAUAGCAAAGAAGUUUGCAGAUCUGAAAAGGUACAAUCUUAUCACAAUUUCUAUCUAAACACAAAGGCGAUUCUUGGUGAGAAUCGAAGAUUAUUUUAAAUUCCGCUUUGUAUAUAUAAGUAGAUUCCCAACAGUGGUAUCAGAACAUACUUUGUGUUUGUUAGAAGUUGCUUUACAUAUUGGAACAAUUAAAUGUUAAUUGUUUUUCUUGUUUUAGCGAUUAAGGAAAUAAAUAAUUUUUCACGUUCAAAAUCAGGUUUUGAAUGAAAAUUAUUUUGGGAUUGGAAUAAUUUGUGAAUUCAGAUUUCAAAAAAAAAAAGAAAGAAAGGGGGACGGUUGAGGCGGCGGCAACCGUUGCCACCGCUGGCGAGGAGCGGCAGCGGCGCUCACUGCCACAGUCUAGGGCAGCGGCGAGCGCCGCUGCUGGAUUGCAGCGAGCAGCAGCGAGGUGCUGCUACUCGCCGCUACUGGAGGAAGCAGUAGUGCCCCUCGUGCUGCUGCUCGCCCCUGCUGGAGGAAGCAGCAGCGCGCGGCGUUGCUGCAAUUUACUGUAGCAGCGUCGUGACCUGCUACAGAUUUAGGAAGUCGCCAGGCGCGACUUCCUGUCGUGAAAGGGAAGGGGCGGCGCCCCAUGAAUUGAAGAGAAACAAAAAAAAAUUAGGUUUUCAGUCGGUUUUGGGAAUUGGAGGCGGGGGCUUCUGAUGCAAUUUGUGAAAUUUCAAGCCCCCGUUUGCAAUAUCCAUUUGGGGUCAAUUUGUAAGUUAUUUAAGUAAGGGACCGUUUUGAAUUAUUUGAUAUUGAAGACCCUUACUUGUAAUUUCACUUCGGUGGUAAAGUAGUAAUUUUCAAAUAAGGACCUAUUUCUGUAAUCUGUGAAAUUGCGAGGGUCGGUUUUGAAAUUUUCGAAAUUUUGAGACUUUGAUUAUAAAUUUUAACUUGGGUCAAAUUUCAAUUUCCAAAUGCUUUUGAAUUGGUUUUUAAAUUGUUUUUCAAAUGGGUUUUGACCUAUUUUGACUAAAUUUUUAAUUUUGACUCAAAUUAAAAUUCUUAUUUAUUAAUUGAUGACAUUUUAUAUUUUCGUUAAAAUUGGAUUUUAACUUAAAUAUUAUACUUUAACCCCAAUUAAAUUUUAUUUUAUUUAGGAAUGUUAUCCUAAAUUAAAAUAUUAAUUCAUUUUAAUUUAAAGUUGGACUCUAAUUUAGCAUUUAAUUAAAAUUAGAUUUUAAUUAAUUAUUCACCCCGAAUAUAUUCUAGAAAUUAGAAUUCGAUUCUAAUUUGACAUUUAAUUAAAAUUUGAUUUUAAUUAAAUUAUCCCGCCCUAAAUUUCUUCUUGAAAUUAGAGUUGGACUCUAAUUUGGUAUUUAAUUAAAAUUUUGAUUUUAAUUAAAUUAAUUCGCCCUAAAUAUUGGAAUUAGAGUUAGACUCUAGUUUUGUCAUUUAAUUAAAAUUUGAUUUUAAUUAAAUUCAACCGCCUUACAUUUUGAAAUUAGAGUUUGAUUCUAAUUUGAUAUUUAAUUAAGAUUUGAUUUUAAUUAAAUAAUCCCGCCAUAUAAUUUUUGAAUUAGAGUUGGACUCUAAUUUGUUAUUUAAUUAAAAUUUGAUUUUAAUUAAAUAUUCCCGCUAAUUAAAUAAUCGAUUAAUAUGAUUAAUUAAUUAUUUAAUUAUUCCGAUCCAUUUGUCUAAAAGAGUUUAGACGACUUAAUUGCUAGAAACUUAAAACUUAUUUGCAUAUAAUAUUAAAUAUUAUAUAGGUAUACAUUUAUGUGAUGAAUGUAUUAUUAGUGGACGAUUGUGGAAUCGACCAUAUGGAUUUGUUGAAUGGUUAAUUUUAAUUCUUGUCGUUUUGUGGGCCUGUGAGCUCUUAAUUGUUUUGGGCCUACGAGCUCUUAAUUGUUUUGGGCCUGCAAGCCCGUUAUUAUUGUUAUUAUUUUGGACCUACGAGUCCAUUAUCAUUAUUGUUAUUAUGGGCCUGUGAAUCCAAUUUCAUUUAAGCCUGCGUGCCAACUAGUAUAGGAUACAUGUUGGAAUUGGACUAAUUGAAGAGACAAGAAGAGGUGGAGACCAUGGAGAUGGUGCAUUGACACUGUUCAAUGCCAUACUCCCUAGGAAUUGACCAACUAGUCUUCAUUAUGGCUCGGGAAGACUAGAUAGUGAAAGUCCAUUAUCGUCCAUACUAUUAUAUUAUGUUAUAUAUAUAUUUAUUUGUAUAGUAGAUGUAUAAUAAUAAUAUAUAUAUGAUUGUAUUGUUGUUGAUGAGACUCAUGAAUGCAAAAUCCCUCCAUAAAAUAUUAAGUCACAUUUGUACUCGCCUUCCAUCAUUAUAGUGAAAAAUCAGAGUCCCAAAUCGUCUCAACUUGUUGAGUACACUCAAGGCUGGUCCAUUAGGGAUAUGUUUGACACUAUGAAAUAUUUGAUAUUUCUGAAUGAUGGGUUUGACUUAACUAAAAUUUAUCUUUUGUUGAGUACACUCAAAGAGAUAAACUUUAGAGGCAUGUUAAGUUAACACAUAAGAUGUGUGAAAACAAAGAGUUGUCAGCUUAAUGAUCUGGGAGUUGUAUGGAGAUACAAUUGAUAAUAGUAUCUACCCAAAUAUUAUAUUAGGGCUUGUUGAGUACACUCAAGGUCUUGAUAUAAUAGAUGGGAUCCCAACCCACUGGGAGUCAAGCAUGGACUCCAUAAAUUUAUGUGAGAGGGUGAUAAAUUUUAUUUAAAUAGUGGGAGCAUAAUUAAUUUAAUAAAAGACCAUGUUAAAUUAAUUGAUGCAUUUUAUAUAUUAUUCUUUCCUUUUUCGUCAUUUAUAUUUAUUGAAUCUGAGUAACCAUAUGUUUUGAAUGACAUACUAGAUGUCAACAACCAAACUAUAUUUUCUUAAUUGACACUGUAAUUUGAGAAUUGUUCUUAUGCAUGAGAAAAUUGGUCACGUCCUUGAGUAGCCAUUUCCAGAAAUACCUACAGAUGACUCAAUUAAAGAAGAGGUGGCUACUGUAGUAAACGCAGUUUAGUACUGCAACGUAUGUGAUACUUGCAACUAAGUCACUGAGUUACAAAAGCGACUUGAGAGUAUAGAUGUUAACACAUAAUUCUUCAUUACAAAGAGUUGUAUGGUAAUAAUCAUGUGUGGAAGGAUAUGAGACUUCCAAACAACUAUAUCGGUGCAAAAUGACAAAGUAAUCUUCAAUCGAUGCUUAGACACUGAAGAUGAUUGACGUUGAGAAAUGUCUCAACUGUGUUCAAUCAUAAACCAUGAACUAAGUAAUGACUUGGUUUUGUAAUCUCUGUCAGCUAAAGCUAUUCACAACUAAUUAUGAAUUUAACGUGAAUAAGCUCGAAUGCAAAAAUAUUGAGUUGCUUAACAUGCUUAGGACUGUUGACCCCUUUAUCAAAGUUGGUAGUGGGCAAGCCAUUGAUUCCUCUAAAGAUAUUAAGAGGAAGUCUAAAGGGGCUUUGUGAAAGCAUCCAAUAUGGUUAAGACAGUAUAAGCGAAGGACAAAUACCAAAUCUAAUGACCCUUGGUUUCAUUAUAGAAUGAAAGGUCAUUGGAAGGAAUAUUGCGUGACUUACGUCUAUUUCAUGAGUUUCUUAGGUAUUUGAUACCAGAUGUAAAUCUCAUAUUUAUACAAAUAUGGAGAAACUUAAAAGAAGUAGACCACUGCGAAAGGGAGAAGUUGACAUACACAUUGGAGAUGAGCAAAUGUUGCUGCAUUGCCUGUAUGAAUAUACUUCUUGCCAUUGCCCUUUUGUUUUAGUAUUGGAAUUAGAGAAAUGUCAUUUUAUACCAACCAUAGCUGGAACAUUAAAAUGAAUUUCAUGUUCGGACAUGAACUAUUUUAAUGUUAAGGACAAUAGUUGUUCUUGUUUAUCUUAAUAAGAUACUAAUGGCUAUGGUAAAUUACAAAACGACGUUUAUAUUCUUUAAUACUAAGGAUUCUAUAAUGAGUAUAGAAAUUAUAAGGCAUAAAUAUUAUAAUCUAAUUAUUACAAAAAUCUGGCAUGAUAGACUUUGUCAUUUAGAUUAAAUGUAAUUCCAAAGUUACAUAAAGGUGUAUACUUGGAAUUAAUUGAUUUUGACAAGUACAAAUUAUGCAUGUCUGGCACAAUGACCAAAUCUUCUUUUACUUGAAAAGAUGAAAGGUCAGCAUAAUUACUGGUCUAAUGCAUAGUGAUGCAUAUGGAUUCAUGGCAAUCAAUGUCAGGUAAUGUUUCUCUUAUUUCAUCAAUGAUCAAGUAUGCUUGAUGAAAAAUCAAACAUGAAACUCUUGAAAAGUUCAAGGGAUUCAAACUAGAAUUAGAGAAACAAAUAGGUAAAGAUACCUUCACAUUAAAAUUCGAUCAAGUGAGAGUAUCUUAAAGAUAACAUCUAGAUUAUUUAAGAGAGAAUGAGAUUCUCUUGCAGUGGACUCCUUCAUAUAUACUGCAAUAAGGUAGUGUAUCUAAAAGGAGGAAUCGUUAAUUAUUAGAUAUAAUGCGAUUAAUAACAAGUCAUGCAAAUCUCCCAAAAUUGUUUUGGAGUCAUGCAUUAAUUGCAGUGUGCAACACGCUAAAUCAUGUCCCAUCUAAAUUGGUUAACAGAACUUCAUACGAGUUAUGGAGAGACACUAGUCCCAAUUUAUCGUAUAUGAAAGUUUGGGGCCAUGACGCUUAUUUGAAGUGCCUUAAAUUGGAUAAGUUUGAGACUAAAUCCGAUAAAUACAUAUUUGUGCGAUAUUCAAAGGAGAGAUUUGAAUAUAAAUUCUAUUAUCAUGAAGAAAGUUUUCAUCUCACGACACAUCGUCUUUUUAGAGAAAAUGUUUACUCUAAGAGAGGACAGUGGGAGUAAAAUAGAAUUUUGAAAGAGUUCAAGAGUCCACAGAUAUAGUUAACCAAGUAGAUAAAUCCGAGUUUGAUCUCAUAUCUGAUAUGGGACAUACUUUGGAUCAGGAAGUAAAGACUCCUGAGGACAUGACAGCUCUAUGUAAAUCUAGUAAGAUCAUUCGACCUUCAAGAAUGUGCAAAUCCAUGAUCAUUAAUCAGGUAUUAGUGAUCCAGGACAAUAAACCUGCUAGUUGCAACAAAAUAAAGUCAAGUGUUGACUUAAAAGAGACAGCAAGAGGCCAUGAAACUCGAGAUGAAACUCGACGCAAGUGAACAAGGUUUGGACCUUGGUCAAGCCUCCUAAUGGAAUAAAGCUCAUAAGCUUUUGUUAAAUAGUUUACAAAAGAAAAGGUCGAUAUGGAUGUGAAUAUCUAUAUAUACAAAGCAAGGCUAAAAGCAAAGGUUAAAUGUUGACCUUGGUGAAACAUUUCUCCUAUAGCCUUGCUUAAGUCCAUUCGGGUUUUGUUUGCAACAGUUGCAUACCGUGACUAUAAGUUAAGAGAAGUCUCUUGGAGUUGAAAUCUUAGAUUUGAUGAAAAGUCAAAGUGUUUGAUUUUAUCAAAUUUGAAAAUGAAUUGUAUGUUUACAAGAAGAUAGUGGGAGCAUUUUCGUAUUCCUAAAACGACAUUCCUAUGUUUCAAUCGUUGAAAUAAUGGUUGUUAAAGGAUUUAUUCUCGAACGAUAUUGGAAAAGCAACUUGAUCUAUAGAGAUAAAUCUAGAGGGUUGCUUGACUCGUUUCAAUCUAUAUAAAAUGUUGAGAAGAUGUUACAUGGAGAAAUUGGUUUACUCUUAAACGGUGUGUUGGAAAGGUUCCGAACAUGAAGCAACCGUUGAUUUAGUAGUAGAAACCUAACACAUGAUUACUUUAGAAGUAGCAAGAAAUUGCAAUCUGGAUCAUGAUGUUCAUAAAUGAACUUGGAGUAGUUGAUAUUGUUGAUCACAUGUCAUUGUAUUGUGAUAAUAAUAGAAUCAUUGCGAAAGCAAAGGAACUAAGGUCUCAUCAAUGAUCCAAACAUGUAUUAAGGCGGUAUAAUCUCAUCAGAGAGAUAAUACAUAGAAAUGACGUAAAGUAAAGAAAAGAACAAAUUUCCACAUUUAACAAUAUUGCAGAUCCACGGACAAAGAGUUGUCAUAACAUAAACAUAAUCGUCAUGUAGACUUAUGAUAUUGAAUACAUAAGUGAUUGGAUCUAGUGCAAGUGGGAGUUUGUAAGUAUUAUGCCCUAGGUCCAAUCAACUUUGGGCAUAAAUGCUUUUGAUAUAUAUAUAUAAUUAAUUCAAUUUAUGGCAUAUCUAUUAUUUAAUUAAUAGACAAUUAAAUAAAUAAUAGAGUCCGAAGAUUCAAACCUCCGUAAUUUGUUAAUCACAAGGAGUUGUGAUUGUGAGAUACAAAUUGCAUCUGAUUGAAUCUUAAAUCAUCCAUGGUCGUAAGUAAUAACGAGAUACGGAUAUCAUUAUUACGGAUAGACCAUCACGUGUGGCAUUUCUUACUUGUGAAGUAAGUAGCUGAUCUCACAAGUUAAAAUGUGGUGACACUUAAAUGAACACGUGGAUGUUUUGUUAUAAAACAAAAUAUUGGAGACCCAUCGAGAGAUUCCACACGGAUAACUAUCUGAGUGUCAGUGGUUAAUCUCUAGCGUUCGGUAGUGGAAUUGGUCCUUUGACUUGAGGUCGUCGUGGUACCUUAUAUGAGGAGAGUCAUACUUUGGCGAUGUUGGAUGUUGCUCUAAAAAGGGCCGCUAAUAAGACAUCGUUCGGGUACGUCAAGAGUCGUAUGAAGGUUGUGAUUGAUCAAUAAAGGAUUCGUCACUCUUAGAUAGUAGGAGAUUAUGAUCUGCGUUUCAUUCAAUUAAGUCGAUGAUGAAAUCCUUGGCCAAGGUGUACUCAUAAGUCGAAAAUGAGUUUUCGACUUAUAUUGACUUAAUAGUGGAGUGAAAGAUAUGAUCGAUGAUCGAGAUUGACACAAUUCCAUAUCUCGUAAUUGAUCGGAUCAUAUUGACGAAAUGAUUAUAGUUUCACGGUAAACGAACGAAUUUGGUUUUGUCAUACCACGUGACAUUUCCCGUCACAUUUAUUGCCCUGACACAUUGCUAGAUGUCAAUCAGGGACAGCGAGUGUAAAUUGACGAUAAAUUAAAAGGGUAUUUUAAUUUAUCAAUUUUGAUUAGAUCAAAAUAAUAUUUCACGUCGUUAGGUAUCGUGGUCGGGAACCUAAUGGGUCGCACACAAAAGAGAAUUGGAAGAUUGCAAAUUGCCAAUUGGUUAAUUUAACAAUCGUUGGAUAAAUUAAUUAAUUGAAUUUGUUAUUUAUAUUCCCGAAUUAAUUAAUUGAAUUAAUUAAUUCACGGGCCGAGUUUAAUUAAUUGGAUUAAUUAAAUAUUGGACCGGACCGGGCCAAGCCCGUUUGGGUUUAUAUAAAUACAUGGCUAGGGUUUGAGGUCCAUAUGAUUUUCAUUAUUCUUACUGGCACAAGAGAGAAAACCCUAGUAGCUGCAAUCUUGUUCUCUGUGUGGAUUACCGUUGGAGGCUGAACAAUUGUACAGUUGUGGAUGGUGAAUCAGGAUUGCUGGAACGAAAAGAAUAGCAAAGAAGUUUGCAGAUCUGAAAAGGUACAAUCUUAUCACAAUUUCUAUCUAAACACAAAGGUGAUUCUUGGUGGGAAUCGAAAAUUAUUUUAAAUUCCGCUAUGCAUGUAUAAGUAGAUUCCCAACAAAAGGUGCAUUUGGUAAUGACUGUGUGUCUGACCUAUCGUUCUGUGAUCACUGUGUGCUCGGAAAGUACCAUAGAGUGUCGUUCUCCACUAGUACGCAUAAGGCUAAAAGCAUGCUUGAAUAUGUGCAUUCUGAUCUGUGGGGUCCUGUUAGUAAUCUCACAUCGGGUGGGAAUAGGUAUUUCCUAUCUAUCAUAGAUGACUACACCAGGAAAGUGUGGGUCUAUCUAUUGAAAGACAAAACUGAAACCUUCCAUAACUUUAACAAUUGGAAGAAACAAAUGGAAAACCAAACUAGCAAGAGGAUCAAAUUUUUAAGGACAGAUAACGGCCUAGAAUUCUGUAAUACUGAAUUCGAUAGGAUGUGUAAAGAAAGUGGAAUAACAAGGCACAAAACGGUUCCCUAUACUCCCCAGCAAAACGGGGUAGCAGAAAGAAUGAAUAGGACCAUACUAGAUAAAGUGCGCUGUAUGAUGUUAAGUUCUGGGGUUCCUAAGUCAUUUUGGGGUGAAGCCGUUGUAACUGCCUGUUAUCUGAUAAAUUUGACUCCAUCGGCUGCAUUAAAUGGUGAUACUCCACAUGGGAAAUGGUCUGGAAAAUUGGGUGACUACUCAAUGCUUAAAGCGUUUGGCUGUGCUGCCUUUUCUCAUCAAAGUGAGGGAAAGUUAGAACCUAGAGCCAAGAAGUGUGUCUUUCUAGGAUAUCCCGAAAGGGUUAAGGGCUAUAGGCUAUAGAAUAGGAGCCAAAAAGGAGUUAAGAUCAUCGUGAGUAGGGAUGUCACAUUUAAUGAGAAAGAGAUGCCUUGUCUAAAGAACGAAACCGAACCAAUAAGUGAAACUGAAUCAAGUGAAGAAAGAAGUCGGUUUAAGGUGGAGUUAGGAAAAUUUAACACAUCAGUACCUAGUACUUCGAGUGAGGUGGAGAUUCAGGUCCAAGAACCUGAAGAGGAAAAUGAAGUAGUGAUAGAAGAGCAUCCUGAGGAAGAAAAUCCAUUAGCUAACUAUAAUUUAGUUAGAGAUAGAGAGAGAAGACAAACGAGAGAACCUAGGAGGUUCGGAUAUGAAUCUGAAUUGGAUUUUGCAUACGCUAGUUACGAAGAACUAGUUGAUAGGGAGCCGAAAACUUUUGAAGAGGCUAUGAAUAGUGGUCAAUCUAAGGAGUGGCUUAAGGCUAUGAAAGAAGAGAUGAGUUCUCUAGAAAAGAAUCAAACUUGGGAGUUAGUACCGAGACAUAAGAAUAAAUCAAUCGUUGAUUGCAAGUGGGUCUUUAAGGUUAAGGAAGGUACUAGUAGUUCAGAACCCUUAAGAUUUAAGGCUAGGUUAGUAGCGAAGGAUUACACACAGAAAAAAGGUGUUGAUUAUAACGAGAUUUUCUCACCAGUUGUAAAGUAUACUACUAUUAGGGUCAUGCUCACAUUGGUUGCGCUCUUUGACUAGGAACUUGAACAACUCGAUGUAAAAAUCGUUUUUUUAUACGGAGAGCUUGAUGAACAAAUCUUUAUGAAUCAACCAAAAGGUUUUAAAGACAAGUUAAAACCUGAUUAUGUGUGUUUUCUGAAGAGAUCCCUAUACGGUCUAAAGCAAUCACCUAGACAGUGGUACAAGAGGUUUGAUUUCUUUGUACUCAUUAUAGGAUUUCAAAGAAAUAAAUUCGAUCACUACCUAUACUUUCAACACAACGAGACUGAUAACAAUUAUUUUAGUUGGAUCAUCUCCUAAGUGGAUAAACAAUAUAAAAGCAGACCUUAGUGGAGAAUUUGACAUGAAAGACCUAGGAAAGGCUAAAAAGAUUCUAGGCAUGGAAAUAGAAUGAAAUAGGUCAAAUUCCAUCGUAUUCUUGCAUCAGUCUCCAUACAUAUCAAAGGUGUUGAAAUGGUUUAAUAUGAGUGACUGCAAACCUGUCACGUUGCCUCUUGCAAACCAUUUUGUUCUAUCUAAAGAACAAGCUCCCUGCAAUGAACGUGAAGUGGAAUACAUGAGUAAAAUUUCAUACUCAAAUGUGAUUGGUUCCAUAAUGUAUUUGAUGGUUUGCACUAGACCGGACUUAGGAUUCGCUGUUAGUACUCUCAGUAGGUACAUGUCUAAUCCAGGUCCUGAACAUUGGGAAGCAUUAAAGUGGCUUUUAAGAUAUUUGAAGGGUACAAGUGACGUAGGUCUAAAAUUUAGUGCUAAUAAGGAAGACGUGAAAUUAAAGGGUUUUGUAGAUGCUGACUAUGCAAGAGAUAGGGAUGGUAGGAAAUCAACUUCCUCUUACGUAUUCAUCUUAUCAAAUUCGUGUGUUAGUUGAAAAUCACAGUUACAACACAUAGUUGCACUAUCCACUACAGAGUCAGAAUAUAUUGUCACCACUGAAACAAUUAAAGAGGCUCUAUGGUUUAGAAGUCUACUUCAUGAACUAAGUGUCUUGAAUGAGUAUGUGGUUGUGUAUUCUGAUAGUCAGUCAUCCAUACAUUUGUGUAAGAAUCCUAUUUUUCACGAACGCACUAAAUAUAUCGAUGUUAGGCUACACUUCAUUAGGGAUAUAAUAUCACAAGAAGUAGUAAGACUUGAAAAAAUCCACACACAAUAUAAUCCUUCGGAUAUGGGCACAAAAGUGCUGCUACUGGUAAAGUUUAGAAGUUGCAAGGAGCUUCUAAAUAUCGGUAUAGGUAAAUCAUUUCUAAUUUUAUCGAUUUUCUGUUAGAGGUGUCACUAAUGGAAAAUGUUUUCUCUUUGCAGAUCCUUUGACACCAAGGUGGAGAUUGUUAGACAUCAUGUUGUCAAACGACCUCUCGGACGAUGAUGUAAACCAGUUUUAUCAGUCGACAUGAAUGACUGAACGAUAAAUCAACAUCGAAUAAUGGGAUGACCCGACUUAACGUUGUUUUACCUAUUGGAUGGCUAAUAAACCUUUGUGGCUUGUUGGUGUGCUAUUGGGCCAUAACCCUAGUCGAGCCCACUUACCAUAUGUAUAACUUACCUUAUUGUUUGUCAUUGGUUUAUUAUUUAUAUUGGUAACUCUCAUAGCCUUCUAAGGUCCCGUUUUUGUGAAAGAACCCGAGAGAGAGAGAGAGAGAGAGGCCGUGUCUUCUUCUUCUUCGUGCAUUCUACUUCUUGAUCUUGUGUACAUCUUGCUUGUGUCUUUGUGACCCUUACCUGUGUGGUAUUCAUUCUUUGUGAGUGAGCAAACAACAAGCAGAAGGAAGAAAAGCAACCAUAGGUAGAACUCGUGAGGUUGGCGGCGGGUACCUUCGGUUUUGGUGUUGAUUCGGCGUUUUAAAGAUUAACUGAGCCCGAAAAUCAUCUUGAGCAGCUUGAGGAAGAUCCUAACAAUGUUGAAAGUGUUAAAGCAAAAAUAUUUCAAGCUCCAUAGAUAAAAAAUGCUCUACUUGAAUUGGCAAUCGUUGAUGAUCCUAAAACAAAAAGUGAGGCGGGGUGUUUGGCAACAUACGAAAUAGAAAAUUUUGAAUUCUUACUUGGGAUGGUUAUUUGGUAUGAAGUGUUGAAUAAUGUUAAUAGAGUAAGCAAACAUUUGCAAAUAGAAGACAUCCAUAUUGAUAUUACUAUAGACCAUUUAAAAUGGCUCAUUUCAUUUUUCAAAGGUUAUAGAGAAAUUGAGUUUGAAUUCGCUAUGAUUGAUGCUAAAGAGAUC
Molecule: long non-coding RNA, 18668 nt
Filed under: Olea europaea subsp. europaea
Lineage: Eukaryota; Viridiplantae; Streptophyta; Magnoliopsida; Lamiales; Oleaceae
Source: RNAcentral